Acyrthosiphon pisum (pea aphid) is the source of this 620-nucleotide long non-coding RNA. RefSeq lists it as uncharacterized. NCBI's taxonomy places the organism in Eukaryota, Metazoa, Arthropoda, Insecta, Hemiptera, Aphididae. The transcript is spliced from 3 exons. The record is from RefSeq and is a predicted model, not a curated record.
AUAAUAAUAUGCAAUCUUCCAGCUACCAGUACGUAAUAAAUAAAUUGUUGUUAUUAAAUUGUUUCAACUUCAUAUUUCAGAAACAUAAAUGGGACUAAAUACGAUGUUGUUAAGGCGACGACUGAUGAGGUCGCUAAUCGUUUUACUUCAUACCGCGAUCUCGGUUGACGUAAUAUUUUUCCAGAGAUUUGUGAUUUGUUAUACUUUAUAGUGAAAUAGCGUAAACUGUAAAGUAAUACCCAGUGUUUAUUGCGUACUUACUCAAAAGUGAAACCUGUUGUCUUGUUUGGUGUUACUGUCGUUAACCAUGGAUCAGUAUAGUCAAGAGCCUGAAGCUGAUCUAUUAGAAAUAGGCAUUUCCUACAAUUCGGAUUACGUUGUGCCUAUUCCACAACCUCAAGUACAGAUCCAAGCAUUCAAAGCUCAAUCGAUUAUUAAACCUGUCGGCUGUCAAGGAGAGAAAACCGACCGAGUGGUUUUUUGAAACUUUGCUUGAUUUAUUACACACUACUAAUGAUGGUAGGUGUAUAUUCACGGACAGAAAAAUAAACGAAGGUUAUCUUUUAGAUGAUUGUCAUAAUACUUUAACAAAACAGAUUGUCAAUCAUUUGUUUCAAGAA